This 21-nucleotide microRNA is filed under the name Mus musculus (house mouse). RNAcentral describes it as "mmu-miR-341-3p". Its record names the gene mmu-miR-341-3p. RNAcentral also lists the same sequence under 1 other name. The record is from miRBase by way of RNAcentral. Lineage: Eukaryota; Metazoa; Chordata; Mammalia; Rodentia; Muridae.
UCGGUCGAUCGGUCGGUCGGU